UAGGGAAUAUUGGGCAAUGGGCGAAAGCCUGACCCAGCCAUGCCGCGUGAGUGCAGAAGGUCCUAUGGAUUGUAAAACUCUUUUCUGAGGAAAGAACAUCCGGGGUAGGAAAUGGCCCCGGCUUGACGGUACCUCAGGAAUAAGGAACGGCUAACUCCGUGCCAGCAGCCGCGGUAAUACGGAGGUUCCAAGCGUUGUUCGGAAUUACUGGGCGUAAAGGGAGCGCAGGCGGACGAGUCAGUCUGAAGUGGAAUCCCGGGGCUUAACCUCGGACUUGCUUCGGAUACUGCUUGUCUUGAGUUCGUGAUAGGAAGACGGAAUUCAGGGUGUAGCGGUGAAAUGCACAGAUAUCCUGAGGAACACCGGUGGCGAAAGCGGUCUUCUGGCGCGAAACUGACGCUGAGGCUCGAAAGCGUGGGUAGCAAACGGG
This 430-nucleotide ribosomal RNA is filed under the name uncultured bacterium. RNAcentral's name for it is "bacterial SSU rRNA". It matches the Rfam family "Bacterial small subunit ribosomal RNA", at positions 355 to 776 of the family's 1533-position model. The record is from RNAcentral.